Molecule: ribosomal RNA, 2614 nt
Filed under: Klebsiella pneumoniae
Lineage: Bacteria; Pseudomonadati; Pseudomonadota; Gammaproteobacteria; Enterobacterales; Enterobacteriaceae
Description: partial 23S ribosomal RNA
Rfam family: Bacterial large subunit ribosomal RNA
Source: RNAcentral
UGUGAACUCGAAGAGUAGGGCGGGACACGUGGUAUCCUGUCUGAAUAUGGGGGGACCAUCCUCCAAGGCUAAAUACUCCUGACUGACCGAUAGUGAACCAGUACCGUGAGGGAAAGGCGAAAAGAACCCCGGCGAGGGGAGUGAAAAAGAACCUGAAACCGUGUACGUACAAGCAGUGGGAGCACCUUCGGGUGUGACUGCGUACCUUUUGUAUAAUGGGUCAGCGACUUAUAUUCUGUAGCAAGGUUAACCGUAUAGGGGAGCCGCAGGGAAACCGAGUCUUAACUGGGCGUUAAGUUGCAGGGUAUAGACCCGAAACCCGGUGAUCUAGCCAUGGGCAGGUUGAAGGUUGGGUAACACUAACUGGAGGACCGAACCGACUAAUGUUGAAAAAUUAGCGGAUGACUUGUGGCUGGGGGUGAAAGGCCAAUCAAACCGGGAGAUAGCUGGUUCUCCCCGAAAGCUAUUUAGGUAGCGCCUCGUGAACUCAUCUUCGGGGGUAGAGCACUGUUUCGGCUAGGGGGUCAUCCCGACUUACCAACCCGAUGCAAACUACGAAUACCGAAGAAUGUUAUCACGGGAGACACACGGCGGGUGCUAACGUCCGUCGUGAAGAGGGAAACAACCCAGACCGCCAGCUAAGGUCCCAAAGUCAUGGUUAAGUGGGAAACGAUGUGGGAAGGCACAGACAGCCAGGAUGUUGGCUUAGAAGCAGCCAUCAUUUAAAGAAAGCGUAAUAGCUCACUGGUCGAGUCGGCCUGCGCGGAAGAUGUAACGGGGCUAAACCAUGCACCGAAGCUGCGGCAGCGACACUAUGUGUUGUUGGGUAGGGGAGCGUUCUGUAAGCCUGCGAAGGUGUGCUGUGAGGCAUGCUGGAGGUAUCAGAAGUGCGAAUGCUGACAUAAGUAACGAUAAAGCGGGUGAAAAGCCCGCUCGCCGGAAGACCAAGGGUUCCUGUCCAACGUUAAUCGGGGCAGGGUGAGUCGACCCCUAAGGCGAGGCCGAAAGGCGUAGUCGAUGGGAAACAGGUUAAUAUUCCUGUACUUGGUGUUACUGCGAAGGGGGGACGGAGAAGGCUAUGUUAGCCGGGCGACGGUUGUCCCGGUUUAAGCAUGUAGGCUGGUUAUCCAGGCAAAUCCGGAUAAUCAAGGCUGAGGUGUGAUGACGAGGCACUACGGUGCUGAAGUAACAAAUGCCCUGCUUCCAGGAAAAGCCUCUAAGCAUCNNNNNNNNNNNNNNNNNNNNNNNNNNNNNNNNNNNNNNNNNNNNNNNNNNNNNNNNNNNNNNNNNNNNNNNNNNNNNNNNNNNNNNNNNNNNNNNAACCAAGGCUGAGGUGUGAUGACGAGGCACUACGGUGCUGAAGUAACAAAUGCCCUGCUUCCAGGAAAAGCCUCUAAGCAUCAGGUAACAUCAAAUCGUACCCCAAACCGACACAGGUGGUCAGGUAGAGAAUACCAAGGCGCUUGAGAGAACUCGGGUGAAGGAACUAGGCAAAAUGGUGCCGUAACUUCGGGAGAAGGCACGCUGGUGUGUAGGUGAAGUCCCUGCGGAUGGAGCUGAGACCAGUCGAAGAUACCAGCUGGCUGCAACUGUUUAUUAAAAACACAGCACUGUGCAAACACGAAAGUGGACGUAUACGGUGUGACGCCUGCCCGGUGCCGGAAGGUUAAUUGAUGGGGUUAUCCGUAAGGAGAAGCUCUUGAUCGAAGCCCCGGUAAACGGCGGCCGUAACUAUAACGGUCCUAAGGUAGCGAAAUUCCUUGUCGGGUAAGUUCCGACCUGCACGAAUGGCGUAAUGAUGGCCAGGCUGUCUCCACCCGAGACUCAGUGAAAUUGAACUCGCUGUGAAGAUGCAGUGUACCCGCGGCAAGACGGAAAGACCCCGUGAACCUUUACUAUAGCUUGACACUGAACAUUGAGCCUUGAUGUGUAGGAUAGGUGGGAGGCUUUGAAGCGUGGACGCCAGUCUGCGUGGAGCCAACCUUGAAAUACCACCCUUUAAUGUUUGAUGUUCUAACGUUGGCCCCUGACCGGGGUUGCGGACAGUGUCUGGUGGGUAGUUUGACUGGGGCGGUCUCCUCCCAAAGCGUAACGGAGGAGCACGAAGGUUAGCUAAUCCUGGUCGGACAUCAGGAGGUUAGUGCAAUGGCAUAAGCUAGCUUGACUGCGAGCGUGACGGCGCGAGCAGGUGCGAAAGCAGGUCAUAGUGAUCCGGUGGUUCUGAAUGGAAGGGCCAUCGCUCAACGGAUAAAAGGUACUCCGGGGAUAACAGGCUGAUACCGCCCAAGAGUUCAUAUCGACGGCGGUGUUUGGCACCUCGAUGUCGGCUCAUCACAUCCUGGGGCUGAAGUAGGUCCCAAGGGUAUGGCUGUUCGCCAUUUAAAGUGGUACGCGAGCUGGGUUUAGAACGUCGUGAGACAGUUCGGUCCCUAUCUGCCGUGGGCGCUGGAGAAUUGAGGGGGGCUGCUCCUAGUACGAGAGGACCGGAGUGGACGCAUCACUGGUGUUCGGGUUGUCAUGCCAAUGGCACUGCCCGGUAGCUAAAUGCGGAAGAGAUAAGUGCUGAAAGCAUCUAAGCACGAAACUUGCCCCGAGAUGAGUUCUCCCUGAGACU